Molecule: ribosomal RNA, 1532 nt
Filed under: Lacerta viridis viridis
Lineage: Eukaryota; Metazoa; Chordata; Lepidosauria; Squamata; Lacertidae
Description: 16S ribosomal RNA
Rfam family: Bacterial large subunit ribosomal RNA
Source: RNAcentral
GCCCCAAACUAAGCCAAUCAAACACCCAAACCCCCCCCCCCCAUUAACCAAAACAUUUGCCUCGGCCAGUAAAUGAGAUUAAACCCCACCACUUGGCCUUAAAAGUACCGCAAGGGAAAGAUGAAAGAACAAUGAAAAACCUUAAGCAAAAAACAGCAAAGAUAAACCCCUGUACCUUCUGCAUCAUGGUCUAGCAAAACACUUUCAGACAAAGAGAAGCUUUAGCCUGACCCCCCGAAACCAAACGAGCUAUUUUUUGGCAGCCUUAAUAGAGCACACCCGUCCCUGUAGCAAAAGGGUGGGAAGACCAAAAACUAGGGGGCGAAAAGCCUAUCGAGCUUGGUGAUAGCUGGCUACUCAUAAAAGAAUUUAAGUUCAACCUUAGGCUUUCACGAUAGUACUUACAAACUUUUCUUCUCAGCCCAAGGAGACUCAAUGGGGGUACAGCCCCAUUGAACCGGAAUACAGCCCGAACCGAGAGACUUCCCCACUUUACUCUACAGUAGGCCUCAAAGCAGCCACCAAAAACUGCGUUACAGCACGAACAAAAUAAUUCUAAUAACCUACUCACCCUCCCGACUUAAUUUGAGUUAUUCUAUAUUGAUAUAGAAACACCAAUGCUAAAAUUAGUAAUAAGAAAUGAUUAUUUCUCUUUGCACCCCCUUGAAUCAGAAUAGAAAAACUACUGAUAUUUAACAAUUAAACCAACUUCUUUUCUUACACCAGCUUAAACGUUGACUUAACAUUGUCACCCCAACACAGGCGUGCAAAAAAGAAAGGCAAAAAGCCGCAAAAGGAACUCGGCAACAAAUUGUCCCAACUGUUUACCAAAAACAUAGCCUUUAGCUUUACGAGUAUUAAAGGUCCCGCCUGCCCAGUGACUCUUUAAACGGCCGCGGUAUCCUAACCGUGCAAAGGUAGCAUAAUCACUUGUCCCCUAAAUAGGGACUGGUAUGAAUGGCUAAAUGAGGACUAAACUGUCUCUUGCGGACUGGCCAAUGAAAUUGAUUUUCCAGUACAAAAGCUGGAAUGUACCCAUAAGACGAGAAGACCCUGUGGAGCUUCAAAACCAAAUCACCCGGCAUGUUCAUUGGAUUUUUAGUUGGGGCGACUUCGGAAUAUAAUAAAACUUCCAAAAUAAAUUAAUUUCAUCAAGAUUAACACACCAAAAUUUCUUUAUAGAUCCAGCAAAUAAUUUUAUUUAUCUGAUCAAUGAACCAAGUUACCCCAGGGAUAACAGCGCAAUCUCCUUUUAGAGUCCAUAUCGACAAGGGGGUUUACGACCUCGAUGUUGGAUCAGGACACCCCAAUGGUGCAGCCGCCAUUAAAGGUUCGUUUGUUCAACGAUUAAUAGUCCUACGUGAUCUGAGUUCAGACCGGAGAAAUCCAGGUCGGUUUCUAUCUAUGCAGCACUAUCUUUAGUACGAAAGGACCAAGAUAGUAGGACCUCUUCCAAAAGAACGUCCUAAUUAAAAUUACUGAUCACUGCUAAAGUAAUAAACAUGCCCCCCCCCACCCCUAAACUAGGGCUU